Long non-coding RNA from Vespula vulgaris, 949 nucleotides. RefSeq lists it as uncharacterized. Lineage: Eukaryota; Metazoa; Arthropoda; Insecta; Hymenoptera; Vespidae. The record is from RefSeq and is a predicted model, not a curated record. The transcript has 3 exons.
GUCACAGAUGAUAUAAACAACGCCGUAACUUCUGUCACAGGUCCGUGACGUCACAGAUGAUAGAAACAACGCCGUAAUUUCUGUCACAGGUCCGUGACGUCACAGAUGAUAGAAAAACAACGCCGUAACGUCUCUAAUAGAUCUGUGACGUCACAGAUGAUAGAAACAACGCCGUAAUUUCUGUCACAGGUCCGUGACGUCACAGAUGAUAGAAACAACGCCGUAACUUCUGUCACAGGUCCGUGACGUCACAGAUGAUAGAAACAAGGCCGUAACGUCUCUCAGAGAUCUGUGACGUCACAGAUGAUAGAAAAACAACGCCGUAACUCCUGACACAGGUCCGUGACGUCAUAGAUGAUCGAAACAAGGCCGUAACUUCUGUAACAGGUCCGUGACGUCACAGAUGAUAAAAAAACAACGCCGUAACUCCUGACACAGGUCCGUGACGUCAUAGAUGAUCGAAACAAGGCCGUAACUUCUGUAACAGGUCCGUGACGUCACAGAUGAUAAAAAAACAACGCCGUAACGUCUCUAAUAGAUCUGUGACGUCACAGAUGAUAUAAACAACGCCGUAAUUUCUGUCACAGGUCCGUGACGUCACAGAUGAUAGAAACAACGCCGUAACUUCUGUCACAGGUCCGUGACGUCACAGAUGAUAGAAAAACAACGCCGUAACGUCUCUAAUAGAUCGGUGACGUCACAGAUGAUAGAAACAACGCCGUAACUUCUGUCACAGGUCCGUGACGUCACAGAUGAUAGAAAAACAACGCCGUAACGUCUCUAAUAGAUCGGUGACGUCACAGAUGAUAGAAACAACGCCGUAAUUUCUGUCACAGGUCCGUGACGUCAUAGAUGAUCGAAACAACGCUGUAACUUAUCUCAGAGAUCUGUGACGUCACAGAUGAUAGAAAAACAACGCCGAAACUCCUGUAACAGGUCCGUGACGUCA